Molecule: long non-coding RNA, 1483 nt
Filed under: Helianthus annuus (common sunflower)
Lineage: Eukaryota; Viridiplantae; Streptophyta; Magnoliopsida; Asterales; Asteraceae
Description: hypothetical non coding rna
Source: RNAcentral
GGGGCAAAACCGUUAAAGUGACAAAACCACAGGGAGCAAAACGAAAGUUUACUCGUAUUUUUCACUUACUCCAGCUUGUACAAGGUAAGAUUCGUUUCGUAAACCGAUCAUUUCCGCAAUCUGAUGUGAAUAGUCUUCGAUACUAUCGUCAAUCAUCGAAGACGCAAAACUAAACGAAAUCUGAUCAUCAUCCAACAGCAUCAUCCUGCAUCCACAUCAUAACACAUUCGACAACUUUCGUUCAUAUUGUUUAUUUGUUUUAACGUAAAGAGGAUUCGAAACACACCUUUUUGUCAAACUUCCCGACGAAAGUACCUCCUGUGCGUUGAUUUUAACGUUAUCGAUCCAGAUAACGUCUCUUCCAGUAGGCCAUCUAUGCGGAAUCUUGUAUCCCGAAGGAGCAAGAACUAAGCAAUUCUGUUUCGAUGUGGGCCCGCAAUGGCGGUCUUGUUGUUGACCCUCGGUCAAACCCGAUUCAAGAUUUUCGCUAAUGUUAAAACAUGAAGCACCUAGUGAGAGUUCACCAAUGUCCCAAAAAUCCGAAACCAGUUGUUCUUGAAGGCGUCUGUAAGACCCGCGAAACGUCUGGUUUCUAGACGCGGCUGUGAGUGAUAGUGUCCACCAAAACGAACCCGUAAGCGCAAGAAAUACAAUAACGAAUAAACUGAACUUGAGUAAAAAUAACGUUAGUUUAUAGCGUUUUCGUGAUGAUACAGGGCUGAAUGUAUCAGGAACAAUAAAACCGUUUUCGUGAACACUUUGUUUGGAUGGUGAACUAGUUGUAUAUGUAAACAUAAAAUGAAAUGGGUUCCAUGAGCAUCUAUGAUUAGGGGAUAAUCGGUUUUUAUCGAAAUCUUCCUUUUCGGCCUUGAAUUUCAUCUGGGAAUCUUCUAAGAAGUUAUGAAAGUCGCCGGAUAGUCUCCCGCCACCGGAGAAACCUCUAUGGAGCGGCCGUGACAUUGUUCUACAUUCGAAAAGCACAUAAAAAUGUCACAUAAACACUACAUUUUCACAAACUCUCUAAAUUUAAAAAAAAAAAAAAAAACAUGGGAAAGAUUCCAUUAAAAGCAGAAAGAAAACAGCAAAAAAAUAGAUGAAUUUUUUUUUUUCUGUAUAUAUUUCAUUCCAAUCACCAGGGCAAAUUACAUAAGAAUAGCAGGUAGACGAGCAACAAAUUAUAAACAUAAACUCUAACCUUAAUUAGAUGCAACAAAUUAAAGCAAAUUCAAUUUAAAAAAAAAAAUUGAAUUGGAUGAUAUAAAAAAAAAUUGAAAAUUUUACCUUGAUUAGAUGCAUCAAAUUCAAACAAUAUUAAAAAAAAAAAUUGAAUUGGAUGGUAAAAAAACUAGAAUUUGCCACCUUGAUUAGAUGCAACAAAUUUCAAAAAGAAAAGCUGAAUUGGAUGAUUAAAAAAACUAGAAGUAGAAACUCUUAUCUUGAUUAGAUGCAGCAAAUUCAAAAAAAAAAAAAAAAAAAAAAAAAA